GUGGUAAUGCCGGAUGCUCCAGUUGAUCGCAUGGUCUUCUGGGAAAGCUUUCGCGGUAUGGGAUGGGGUCGCGUCCUAUCAGCUUGACGGCGGGGUAACGGCCCACCGUGGCUUCGACGGGUAGCCGGCCUGAGAGGGCGACCGGCCACAUUGGGACUGAGAUACGGCCCAGACUCCUACGGGAGGCAGCAGUGGGGAAUAUUGCACAAUGGGCGCAAGCCUGAUGCAGCGACGCCGCGUGAGGGAUGGAGGCCUUCGGGUUGUAAACCUCUUUUAUCGGGGAGCAAGCGAGAGUGAGUUUACCCGUUGAAUAAGCACCGGCUAACUACGUGCCAGCAGCCGCGGUAAUACGUAGGGUGCAAGCGUUAUCCGGAAUUAUUGGGCGUAAAGGGCUCGUAGGCGGUUCGUCGCGUCCGGUGUGAAAGUCCAUCGCUUAACGGUGGAUCCGCGCCGGGUACGGGCGGGCUUGAGUGCGGUAGGGGAGACUGGAAUUCCCGGUGUAACGGUGGAAUGUGU
This 516-nucleotide ribosomal RNA is filed under the name Bifidobacterium longum subsp. suillum. RNAcentral's name for it is "bacterial SSU rRNA". It matches the Rfam family "Bacterial small subunit ribosomal RNA", at positions 160 to 691 of the family's 1533-position model. Lineage: Bacteria; Bacillati; Actinomycetota; Actinomycetes; Bifidobacteriales; Bifidobacteriaceae. The record is from RNAcentral.